Long non-coding RNA from Bufo bufo (common toad), 222 nucleotides. RefSeq lists it as uncharacterized. The transcript is spliced from 3 exons. The record is from RefSeq and is a predicted model, not a curated record. NCBI's taxonomy places the organism in Eukaryota, Metazoa, Chordata, Amphibia, Anura, Bufonidae.
CCGUCUGGUUUCUAUUAUGCAGGGGAGUCCUCUUCUGCAUAACAGAAACGGGACGGAUCCGUUUAGCAGCCCAUAGACUUCUAUUAUGACGGAAGGAAUAACGGAAGGCCUCUAAAGGCACUCCGUUAGGCAUUCCGUCAUAGAAUUGCGCUAUGGUCCGUGGUAACGGAAUCCAUAACGCAAUUCUGAUUUUACCACCAAACGAAGCUCAUCAGCAGAAAU